Molecule: long non-coding RNA, 450 nt
Organism: Psammomys obesus (fat sand rat)
Lineage: Eukaryota; Metazoa; Chordata; Mammalia; Rodentia; Muridae
Exons: 2
Source: RefSeq, a predicted model, not a curated record
GAUCGAGCCUUCCCGGCCGGUCGCUGCUGAGGCGGUGCGACGUGACUCGGGGCCAUGGAAAAUGCACCCUAAGCGUACCCCUCCCUGCCCCCGCUGCCCGUGUGCCCGUGUGAGCCGGGACAGAGCCCGUGCAGAUCGCGUGCACCCCAGCACACAGUGGGUCUUUUAGUGUGCAUUUGCCCCAGCAGUGAGUAAAGACCCCACCCGGUGAUGUGGAGGGUGGCGCCGGGAUCACUGUUGCUACCACUGACGUGUUCCUUUGUGUUGUCCUGGGUGUCACACUCCCAUUGUCUCGGGUCUUCACCCCAUCCCAGGGAGGUCAGCCUGACCUUUUUAUCUGGGCCAUGAAGAGGCUGCGUUGCGCUGAGGCCAUGCUGUGUGUGUGGGGUGGGGGGGGGCUUCCAGCCUUCACUGUGUCACCUUGACUCUCAAUAAAGGGUUUUAAAUUGC